This 492-nucleotide ribosomal RNA is filed under the name uncultured bacterium. RNAcentral's name for it is "partial 16S ribosomal RNA". It matches the Rfam family "Bacterial small subunit ribosomal RNA", at positions 33 to 507 of the family's 1533-position model. The record is from RNAcentral.
AUUUCACUCUUUCUUUAGGCCUAACACAUGCAAGUCGAACGGCAGCACAGUAAGAGCUUGCUCUUACGGGUGGCGAGUGGCGGACGGGUGAGGAAUACAUCGGAAUCUACUUUUUCGUGGGGGAUAACGUAGGGAAACUUACGCUAAUACCGCAUACGACCUACGGGUGAAAGCAGGGGAUCUUCGGACCUUGCGCGAUUGAAUGAGCCGAUGUCGGAUUAGCUAGUUGGCGGGGUAAAGGCCCACCAAGGCGACGAUCCGUAGCUGGUCUGAGAGGAUGAACAGCCACACUGGAACUGAGACACGGUCCAGACUCCUACGGGAGGCAGCAGUGGGGAAUAUUGGACAAUGGGCGCAAGCCUGAUCCAGCCAUACCGCGUGGGUGAAGAAGGCCUUCGGGUUGUAAAGCCCUUUUGUUGGGAAAGAAAAGCAGCAGGUUAAUACCCCGCUGUUCUGACGGUACCCAAAGAAUAAGCACCGGCUAACUUCGUG